UAAGCGGAGGAAAAGAAACUAACAAGGAUUCCCCUAGUAGCGGCGAGCGAAGCGGGAAGAGCUCAAAUUUAUAAUCUGGCACCUUCGGUGUCCGAGUUGUAAUCUCUAGAAGUGUUUUCCGCGUUGGACCGCACACAAGUCUGUUGGAAUACAGCGGCAUAGUGGUGAAACCCCCGUAUAUGGUGCGGACGCCCAGCGCUUUGUGAUACACUUUCAAUGAGUCGAGUUGUUUGGGAAUGCAGCUCAAAUUGGGUGGUAAAUUCCAUCUAAAGCUAAAUAUUGGCGAGAGACCGAUAGCGAACAAGUACCGUGAGGGAAAGAUGAAAAGCACUUUGGAAAGAGAGUUAACAGUACGUGAAAUUGUUGGAAGGGAAACGCUUGAAGUCAGACUUGCUUGCCGGAGCUUGCUUCGGUUUGCAGGCCAGCAUCAGUUUUCCGGGGUGGAUAAUGACGGUUUGAAGGUAGCAGUCUCGGCUGUGUUAUAGCUUUCCGUUGGAUACGCCCUGGGGGACUGAGGAACGCAGCGUGCUUUUUGCGAAAGACUCGUCUUUUUCACGCUUAGGAUGCUGGUGGAAUGGCUUUAAACGACCCGUCUUGAAACACG
This 604-nucleotide ribosomal RNA is filed under the name Rhodotorula diobovata. RNAcentral's name for it is "eukaryotic LSU rRNA". It matches the Rfam family "Eukaryotic large subunit ribosomal RNA", at positions 47 to 663 of the family's 3401-position model. The record is from RNAcentral. Lineage: Eukaryota; Fungi; Basidiomycota; Microbotryomycetes; Sporidiobolales; Sporidiobolaceae.